Molecule: ribosomal RNA, 497 nt
Filed under: uncultured bacterium
Lineage: Bacteria
Description: partial 16S ribosomal RNA
Rfam family: Bacterial small subunit ribosomal RNA
Source: RNAcentral
GAUGAACGCUGGCGGCGUGCCUAAUACAUGCAAGUCGAGCGAACAGACGAGGAGCUUGCUCCUUUGACGUUAGCGGCGGACGGGUGAGUAACACGUGGAUAACCUACCUAUAAGACUGGGAUAACUUCGGGAAACCGGAGCUAAUACCGGAUAACAUGUUGAACCGCAUGGUUCAACAGUGAAAGACGGUCUUGCUGUCACUUAUAGAUGGAUCCGCGCCGCAUUAGCUAGUUGGUAAGGUAACGGCUUACCAAGGCAACGAUGCGUAGCCGACCUAAGAGGGUGAUCGGCCACACUGGAACUGAGACACGGUCCAGACUCCUACGGGAGGCAGCAGUAGGGAAUCUUCCGCAAUGGGCGAAAGCCUGACGGAGCAACGCCGCGUGAGUGAAGAAGGUCUUCGGAUCGUAAAACUCUGUUAUUAGGGAAGAACAAAUGUGUAAGUAACUAUGCACGUCUUGACGGUACCUAAUCAGAAAGCCACGGCUAACUACGUG